Molecule: ribosomal RNA, 536 nt
Filed under: Mycobacterium sp. 05-04851
Lineage: Bacteria; Bacillati; Actinomycetota; Actinomycetes; Mycobacteriales; Mycobacteriaceae
Description: bacterial SSU rRNA
Rfam family: Bacterial small subunit ribosomal RNA
Source: RNAcentral
GACGAACGCUGGCGGCGUGCUUAACACAUGCAAGUCGAACGGAAAGGCCCUUCGGGGUACUCGAGUGGCGAACGGGUGAGUAACACGUGGGUGAUCUGCCCUGCACUUUGGGAUAAGCCUGGGAAACUGGGUCUAAUACCGAAUACACCUCAUUGGUCGCAUGGCCUGGUGGGGGAAAGCUUUUGCGGUGUGGGAUGGGCCCGCGGCCUAUCAGCUUGUUGGUGGGGUGAUGGCCUACCAAGGCGACGACGGGUAGCCGGCCUGAGAGGGUGACCGGCCACACUGGGACUGAGAUACGGCCCAGACUCCUACGGGAGGCAGCAGUGGGGAAUAUUGCACAAUGGGCGCAAGCCUGAUGCAGCGACGCCGCGUGGGGGAUGACGGCCUUCGGGUUGUAAACCUCUUUCAGCAUCGACGAAGCGCAAGUGACGGUAGAUGCAGAAGAAGCACCGGCCAACUACGUGCCAGCAGCCGCGGUAAUACGUAGGGUGCGAGCGUUGUCCGGAAUUACUGGGCGUAAAGAGCUCGUAGGUGGU